Molecule: ribosomal RNA, 429 nt
Filed under: Actinomycetes bacterium
Lineage: Bacteria; Bacillati; Actinomycetota; Actinomycetes
Description: Actinobacteria bacterium partial 16S ribosomal RNA
Rfam family: Bacterial small subunit ribosomal RNA
Source: RNAcentral
UAGGGAAUCUUCCGCAAUGGGCGAAAGCCCGACGGAACAACGCCGCGUGAGUGAUGAAGGUCUUCGGAUCGUAAAACUCUGUUAUUAGGGAAGAACAAAUGUGUAAGUAACUAUGCACGUCUUGACGGUACCUAAUCAGAAAGCCACGGCUAACUACGUGCCACCAGCCGCGGUAAUACGUAGGUGGCAAGCGUUAUCCGGAAUUAUUGGGCGUAAAGCGCGCGUAGGCGGUUUUUUAAGUCUGAUGUGAAAGCCCACGGCUCAACCGUGGAGGGUCAUUGGAAACUGGAAAACUUGAGUGCAGAAGAGGAAAAUGGAAUUCCAUGUGUGGCGGUGAAAUGCGCAGAGAUAUGGAGGAACACCAGUGGCGAAGGCGAAUUUCUGGUCUGUAACUGACGCUGAUGUGCGAAAGCGUGGGGAUCAAACAGG